GAGUUUGAUUCUGGCUCAGAUUGAACGCUGGCGGCAUGCUUUACACAUGCAAGUCGAACGGCAGCACAAGGAGCUUGCUCCUGGGUGGCGAGUGGCGAACGGGUGAGUAAUGUAUCGGAGCGUGCCUGGUAGUGGGGGAUAACCACUCGAAAGAGUGGCUAAUACCGCAUGAGAUCUCUGGAUGAAAGCGGGGGACCUUUUGGCCUCGCGCUACUGGAGCGGCCGAUAUCAGAUUAGGUAGUUGGUGGGGUAAAGGCCUACCAAGCCUGCGAUCUGUAGCUGGUCUGAGAGGACGACCAGCCACACUGGGACUGAGACACGGCCCAGACUCCUACGGGAGGCAGCAGUGGGGAAUUUUGGACAAUGGGCGCAAGCCUGAUCCAGCAAUGCCGCGUGCAGGACGAAGGCCCUCGGGUUGUAAACUGCUUUUGUACAGAACGAAAACUCUCUGGUUAAUACCUGGGGAG
RNAcentral lists this ribosomal RNA (467 nucleotides) under Brachymonas sp. canine oral taxon 015. RNAcentral describes it as "bacterial SSU rRNA". It matches the Rfam family "Bacterial small subunit ribosomal RNA", at positions 9 to 471 of the family's 1533-position model. Lineage: Bacteria; Pseudomonadati; Pseudomonadota; Betaproteobacteria; Burkholderiales; Comamonadaceae. The record is from RNAcentral.